This 240-nucleotide unclassified non-coding RNA is filed under the name soil metagenome. Its description in RNAcentral is "partial contains 5.8S ribosomal RNA, internal transcribed spacer 2, and large subunit ribosomal RNA". The record is from RNAcentral.
AACCUAGCACACCUGCGGUGUGUACCUGCGGAGGGAUCAUUAUCGAGUUAGGGUCGUUCUGGCCCGAACUUCCAACCCCUUGUUUAUCACACCAUGUUGCUUUGGUAGGCCCGCCCCUCCUUGGGGGGCCGCCGGAGGUUAUCUUACCUCUGGCCCGUGCCUGCCAGUAGCCUUAUUAAAUUCUUUUUUAACUGUGUCGUCUGAGUGGCCUUAUUAAAUCGUUAAAAACUUUCAACAAUG